RNAcentral lists this ribosomal RNA (169 nucleotides) under Salmonella enterica. RNAcentral describes it as "partial 23S ribosomal RNA". It matches the Rfam family "Bacterial large subunit ribosomal RNA", at positions 2762 to 2925 of the family's 2925-position model. The record is from RNAcentral. Lineage: Bacteria; Pseudomonadati; Pseudomonadota; Gammaproteobacteria; Enterobacterales; Enterobacteriaceae. RNAcentral also lists the same sequence under 3 other names.
AGAUAAGUGCUGAAAGCAUCUAAGCACGAAACUUGCCCCGAGAUGAGUUCUCCCUGAGACUAUAAGUCUCCUGAAGGAACGUUGAAGACGACGACGUUGAUAGGCCGGGUGUGUAAGCGCAGCGAUGCGUUGAGCUAACCGGUACUAAUGAACCGUGAGGCUUAACCUU